GCGAGAUGAGUAUUCUAAGGCGCGCGAGAUAACUUUCGUUAAGGAACUCGGCAAAUUAUCCCCGUAACUUCGGAAGAAGGGGAGCCUCUUAGGGUGAUUGCCUUUACGGCAUGAGCUCCGGGGGGCCGCAGAGAAAUGGCCCAGGCGACUGUUUAACAAAAACACAGCACUAUGCAAACCUCUAAGGGGAAGUAUAUGGUGUGACGCCUGCCCAAUGCCAAAAGGUUAAAGGGAUAUGUCAGCCGCAAGGCAAAGCAUUGAACCCAAGCCCUGGUGAAUGGCCGCCGUAACUAUAACGGUGCUAAGGUAGCGAAAUUCCUUGUCGGGUAAGUUCCGACCUGCACGAAUGGUGUAACGAUCUGGGCACUGUCUCAACGAAAGACUCGGUGAAAUUGUAGUAGCAGUGAAGAUGCUGUUUACCCGCAAAAGGACGAAAAGACCCCGUGAACCUUUACUGUACUUUGGUAUUGAUUCUUGAUUUGUUAUGUGUAGCAUAGCCAGGAGACUGAGAACACUCUUCGUCAGGAGAGUGGGAGUCAUCGUUGAAAUACUGGUCUUAACAAGUUGGGAAUCUAACAUAAUUCCAUGAAUCUGGAAUAUGGACAUUGCCAGACGGGCAGUUUUACUGGGGCGGUAUCCUCCUAAAAAGUAACGGAGGAGCCCAAAGCUUAUUUCAUCGUGGUUGGCAAUCACGAGUAGAGCGUAAAGGUAUAAAAUAGGUUGACUGCAAGACCUACAAGUCAAGCAGAGACGAAAGUCGGGCUUAGUGAUCCGGCGGUGGAAAGUGGAAUCGCCGUCGCUUAACGGAUAAAAGGUACUCCGGGGAUAACAGGCUGAUCGCCACCAAGAGUUCAUAUCGACGUGGCGGUUUGGCACCUCGAUGUCGGCUCAUCGCAUCCUGGGGCUGGAGAAGGUCCCAAGGGUUUGGCUGUUCGCCAAUUAAAGCGGUACGCGAGCUGGGUUCAAAACGUCGUGAGACAGUUUGGUCUCUAUCCUUUGUGGGCGCAGGAUACUUGAAAGGAGCUGUUCCUAGUACGAGAGGACCGGAAUGGACGAACCAAUGGUGUGUCGGUUGUUUUGCCAAAAGCAUAGCCGAGUAGCUACGUUCGGAAAGGAUAAGCAUUGAAAGCAUCUAAAUGCCAAGCCUCCCUUAAGAUAA
RNAcentral lists this ribosomal RNA (1159 nucleotides) under Chlamydia psittaci. Its description in RNAcentral is "bacterial LSU rRNA". It matches the Rfam family "Bacterial large subunit ribosomal RNA", at positions 1667 to 2807 of the family's 2925-position model. The record is from RNAcentral. Lineage: Bacteria; Pseudomonadati; Chlamydiota; Chlamydiia; Chlamydiales; Chlamydiaceae.